GGGUGAUUGAAUAUCUCUUAGAGAGCUUUUGAAAAUGGAGAAGCAACGUAAAUCAAAGAACAAGAUCCUCAAGUUUUUAUUACCCAAACCAGCUUCUGCAGUCUCCUUCCAAUUCAGCCCUGGUAGAGAUAAACGAUCUGAGAAUCACUUCCACAGUCUCAAAGCUCAUGUCGAUAAAGGAUUUUCUGGUCCCAUUGUUUCCAUCAUCCCCGAUGAAGUUCGACGGAAACCCAAGAAUGGAAACGUCGAGUCCGAAGAACCCACCUCGCCUAAAGUGUCCUGCAUGGGCCAAAUCAAACUCAAGAAGAUGGUAAUUAGCAAGGCCAAGCGGGCUUUGCCUCAAGAAACAAAGGCUGUACCGUCUCCACGUAAGAUAAACAAACAUGCGUCGACGAUUAAGAAGCUCUUUAGUAGUGCAAAACCAACUGAUAGGAGGAGAUCCAAUGCUUCUAUCUAUGAGAAGCAGCCACUUUCUGAAAGAGCACCUGCUUUGAGUCGUGAUACGUUUGCCAGCAUUGACUGGACGGAUCAUAUUUCGCCGGUGG
Molecule: unclassified non-coding RNA, 545 nt
Filed under: Hevea brasiliensis (rubber tree)
Lineage: Eukaryota; Viridiplantae; Streptophyta; Magnoliopsida; Malpighiales; Euphorbiaceae
Source: RNAcentral